Long non-coding RNA from Impatiens glandulifera, 206 nucleotides. RefSeq lists it as uncharacterized. The transcript has 3 exons. Lineage: Eukaryota; Viridiplantae; Streptophyta; Magnoliopsida; Ericales; Balsaminaceae. The record is from RefSeq and is a predicted model, not a curated record.
UUAAUUCUUACCGUUCAUCGCUAUCUACGAAUACAGUGCAAACUCUACUUUGUGGAGGUGAUUGACUUCGACAUAUAAAUGGAAUGAAAAAGAAGACUAAAAAAGAGAAGACAUAUCAAGAAAUUUUGUUGCCGGUAUCUACAUCUUAAAGUAGUUGUACGUGUGCUAUGAUUGAAGAACAUGAGUUAAAAAGAUUAAUAUAUUGA